GACGAACGCUGGCUGCGUGCUUAACACAUGCAAGUCGAACGCUGAAGCCGGGUGCUUGCACCCGGUGGAUGAGUGGCGAACGGGUGAGUAACACGUGAGUAACCUGCCCCUGAUUUCGGGAUAAGCCCGGGAAACUGGGUCUAAUACCGGAUAUGACCAAUCCUUGCAUGAGGGUUGGUGGAAAGUUUUUUCGAUCAGGGAUGGGCUCGCGGCCUAUCAGCUUGUUGGUGGGGUAAUGGCCUACCAAGGCGACGACGGGUAGCCGGCCUGAGAGGGCGACCGGCCACACUGGGACUGAGACACGGCCCAGACUCCUACGGGAGGCAGCAGUGGGGAAUAUUGCACAAUGGGGGAAACCCUGAUGCAGCGACGCAGCGUGCGGGAUGACGGCCUUCGAGUUGUAAACCGCUUUCAGCAGGGAAGAAACGCAAGUGACGGUACCUGCAGAAGAAGUACCGGCUAACUACGUGCCAGCAGCCGCUGUAA
This 486-nucleotide ribosomal RNA is filed under the name uncultured bacterium. RNAcentral describes it as "partial 16S ribosomal RNA". It matches the Rfam family "Bacterial small subunit ribosomal RNA", at positions 28 to 523 of the family's 1533-position model. The record is from RNAcentral.